Molecule: ribosomal RNA, 460 nt
Filed under: uncultured bacterium
Lineage: Bacteria
Description: partial 16S ribosomal RNA
Rfam family: Bacterial small subunit ribosomal RNA
Source: RNAcentral
CCUACGAGCGGCAGCAGUGAGGAAUAUUGGUCAAUGGACGCAAGUCUGAACCAGCCAUGCCGCGUGCAGGAAGACGGCUCUAUGAGUUGUAAACUGCUUUUGUACGAGAGUAAACGCAGAUACGCGUAUCUGUCUGAAAGUAUCGUACGAAUAAGGAUCGGCUAACUCCGUGCCAGCAGCCGCGGUAAUACGGAGGAUGCAAGCGUUACCCGGAGUUAUUGGGUUUAAAGGGUGCGUAGGCGGUCGGAUAAGUUAGAGGUGAAAUCCCGAGGCUUAACUUCGGAAUUGCCUUUGAUACUGUUCGGCUAGAGAGUAGGUGCGGUAGGUGGAAUGUAUGGUGUAGCGGUGAAAUGCUUAGAGAUCAUACAGAACACCGAUUGCGAAGGCAGCUUACCAAGCUACUUCUGACGUUGAGGCACGAAAGCGUGGGGAGCAAACAGGAUUAGAUACCCCAGUAGUC